GAUGAACGCUGGCGGCGUGCCUAAUACAUGCAAGUCGAACGCUGAAGGAGGAGCUUGCCCUUCUGGAUGAUUUGCGCACGGGUGAGUAACGCGUAGGUAACCUGCCUGGUAGCGGGGGAUAACUAUUGGAAACGAUAGCUAAUACCGCAUGACAUCAGUUAUUGCAUGAUGACUGUUUAUAAGGGGCAACUGCUCCACUACCAGAUGGACCUGCGUUGUAUUAGUUAGUUGUUGAGGAAACGGCUCAACAAGGCGAAGAUACAUAGCCGACCUGAGAGGGGGAUCGGCCAAACUUGGACCUGGACACGGGCCAAACUCCUACGGGGAGGAGCAGUAGGGAAUCUUCGGGCAAGGACGGAAGUCUGACCGGAGAACGCCGGGUGGGGGAAGAAGGUUUUCGGAUCGGAAAACUCCGUUUUAAGAGAAGAACGAAAGGGAGAGUGGAAAGUUCACACUGUGACGGUAUCUUACCAGAAAGGGACGGCUAACUACGUG
RNAcentral lists this ribosomal RNA (495 nucleotides) under uncultured bacterium. RNAcentral describes it as "partial 16S ribosomal RNA". It matches the Rfam family "Bacterial small subunit ribosomal RNA", at positions 28 to 507 of the family's 1533-position model. The record is from RNAcentral.